Molecule: long non-coding RNA, 15167 nt
Organism: Triticum aestivum (bread wheat)
Lineage: Eukaryota; Viridiplantae; Streptophyta; Magnoliopsida; Poales; Poaceae
Exons: 2
Source: RefSeq, a predicted model, not a curated record
CCGAGUGAUUGGCGCACACAGAGUGACAGAGAGGGGAGAGAGCACGGGUGGGGUGGAGACCGGAGCGGCGAGGGUUUCGGUGCCAGCGUCGCUGCCCUGGGUGGAGAAACCCCACCCCUCGCGCCCUCCGCCCGCCUCGGGGAGUCCGGCAGGGCUCCGGAUCUGCUCGGCCGCCGCCGCCGGCAUCGGGCCCUUCGCUUCGGCGGGAAGUUCUCCGCCGCAUUGCCCCCGUCUCCCACGCCUGUUUCCCCCCUCGAUUCCCCCGGCUUUCCGGUGGGUUGAUGCUUUGUUCCGCUCGAUCUCGGCGUAGAUGUACGUACUUUGGUAGUCUGUUUGGUGAUUUGUAGUCCACUCCUAGUAUAAUUUUUGCAUGCUGCAUGGAUUUUCCCUUGGAAUUGGCCCGGUGAUGAUUAGGCUGAAACCCCCAAUGCGGGGAUAGAUCGGCUCAGAUCUGAGCACGAAAAGCGAUCAGAAAUGGCUAAUGCGGCGCUGGCUUCUCUGUUCUGGGCGCUGAGGCCUGUGUCUGGGUCAGCCGUAUCUUCUGCUGAAGCUCUGCCACUGACCUAGGGCCGGCCCUUGUUGAGGUCUGCCUCUCCGUCCUUCUCCUACUCCUUGCCGUCGUCGCCGCCGUACUUUUGCCAUGGCCACGCCACGCCUCGCCACUUCUUUCGGUUCACCAGGCACGCCCCAGUGCCGGCUUUGGAGCCAGCCGCAUUAGCCCGCGAUGAAAACUGAAAUCUGAGGGCCAUGUUGUGAUGCAGAAUUCUCGGUAUAUUUUCGUCCGGAUCGAACUCUCUUGCAAUGCCACACACACUGUAAACCAGACAGCUUCUGCACAUUGUGUUAUAUUGUCGUAUGCAAUGCAAUGGUGGAAUGGAAUGCCAUCUUACAGUGUGUGGAGCACUCCUAGGCUAGUGAUUUGGUAGGAUAAUUAAUCGAUUGCACUGAAUCACCCGCGCUAAUCUCCUAUGGCUAUUUUCCUCUUUGUUUCCUCCGGCUUUCUGGUGGUAUGAUGCUUUGUUCUAAUCGAUCUCAGCUUAGAUUUACUUUCGUGGUUUGCUUUGUGCAUUUGUAGUUUAUACUAUGUUUUUGCUUUCUACAUGGAUUUUUCCUUUCUCUUGGCCUGAUGAUGAUUAGGAUGAAAGGCCCAUGUGGGAAUGGAUAGAUAGAUCAAUUGAUCGGCUCAGGUUUGAGCUUGAAAUGGGACCAGCCGUUGCAUUCGCAAGGUUGAAGCCCCUGAAAUGGCUAAUACAGCGCUGGCCUUCUCUGUUCUAGGCGCUGAGGCAUGUGUGCUUGGGUUAGCAGCUGCUUUUGCUCAAGCUCCGCCACUGACUGAUGGGAUGGUUCCCUUCUUCUCCACCACCACCACCACCACCAUUGCCUGGUCUUCUCCAUCGGUCCACCCAGACACAUCACAGUGCCAGCUUUGAAGCCCGCUGCAUUAGCCUUUGAUGAACCUGAAAUCUGAGGGCCAUGUUGUUAUGCGAAUUCUCGGUAUUUUCAUUUGAAUCGAACUGUUUUGUGUGGACUCACUGUAAAACAGCCAGCUUGCACAUGGUGUUAUACUAUUGUGUAGUGGGCAAUGGUGGAACGGGAACUCACAAUGUGUAAAGCAGUGCUUUGGGCCAUGCAUGUGCGCCUGCCUGUCUUUGCUGAGAUCCAGGCUAGUGUUUUGGUAAGAUAAUUAACUGGUCGUACUGAAUCAGCCACACCCAUCCCUCGUGUGCUACACAUGAUGGCCUAGGAUCACACUGACAGAUGUUACCAGUCCAUCUGAGGUUCAUUUUUUAUACAUCUAUAUUCUUGUUUUUGUUUCUUUUACCUUAUUCUGUGUCACCUGUCAUUUCAAGAACUGUUCAUUUGCCAUUCUUGAAUGCAGGUUGGCUGUUUUGUACUAGGAAAUAUGACAUGCUUUUGCUACAGAAAUAGUGAUUAGAACACUUUUGAUUUGUUUUCUGUUUUUCUUUCAGUUACUUCUCUUACCAGUUUAACCUCAUAUUACAUUACAUCUUCCAUUUAAUAAGAAACCAACUGUGAACUUUUGGCUUUGCACCAAAAUUUCGGUUUUGAGUUUUUGACUAUAUCAUGAUGGUAUUUUUUGAGGAUGGUGGUUAGAAGCAUGUAUUGCCUAAUGAUGAAAACUAAUGUCAAGAGAUGGAACAUGACAUGAUCCCUCCCCCUUCUCUCUCUCUCAUGUGUGUGUGCGCGCGCACGUACUUUGGCAGCGGAUCUACCUUUCUUCAUGCCCUUACAGGUGAAUUGAAUUUCAUCUCUUGUGCCAUCAAUGAAUGCUACAUAUUUGAACAUGUGAAGGCACAGGGCUUCAUUUUCAUAUCACAAAUUAUUGGCGAAGUUAUGUUUGACAUAUUUAUUUGGUUUCAUCUUCCAGAUCUGUAUAUAUUUGUUUGAUGCGAACCCUUCAUUUGCACUGUUAUUUCUUAUGCUUAGAUUAUGUUAAUUUCUACUGUGACAGAAUCGUGAUGUUUCAUUUUGUUCUUGAUGGUGGAUAGAAUCAUAUAAGUGUUCUCUUCUAUACAUCACCCGAUGAUGAAAAUUGAAAAUGUAGAGAUGGCACUUGGGCAUGAUCCUCUCCUCCCUGUCCUCCUCCUCCUCCUCCUCUCUCUCUCUCUCUCUCUCUCUCUCUCUCUCUCUCUGCGUGAUGCGUAAUGGCACAUGCGGCAGCAACAGCAGCAGCAGUUCAAUCUUUCACAUGCCUUAUGGACAAAAGGGAGAUCAUUUCUUGUGCCAUCAAUGAAUGCUACAUCUAUGGCACCUGAGGGCAUGACGUUUCUUUACCUUAUUCUGAAAACCGGCAAAAUUUGCAUGGAUAUAUUUAUUUUCAAUUUCAUUUUCCUUCAAUAGCAUUGUUGUCUCUUACGUUCAGAUUUUGCAUCAUUUUCGCUUUUGCUUCAUCAUUUUUGUGCAUUUGUUGUGGUUCCAUCUGAUUAUGAUUAAGUUUGCUCUGUGAUUUCUUCAUUACUUCUGUAGUACCUUCUUAGCUUUUUGUUUUGCUAUUCACCUCAGUGGAGGAAAAUCUUUGGUGUUUCAUGAUUUAUCACGACUGAUCACUGUUGUAAAUCAGUUUGCAUUUGAGUUCCGAUAACAGAAGUGGUAGCCCCUUACCAGGGAGAAGGUUUUGAAUUGGCCAAAGCAUUGUUGGUUUCUGUCUGUAAUGUUUAUUAGUGGUUUUAAGUUAGUAUUUUGGUUAUGAUUUGUGCUUCAAAAUUGCCCAUCUCCUACGUCUAUUUCCCCCUUCGAUUCCUUCGGCUCUCCGAUGGUUUGAUGCUUUGUUCCGGUCGAUCUCGGUGUAGAUGUACUUUGGUUGUAGUCUGUUUGGUGAUUUGUAGUGUACUAGUAGUACUAUAUUUUCCGCAUGCUGCAUGGAUUUUCCCUUGGAUUGGCCCGAUGAUGAUUUACUGAAACCCCCAAUGCGGGGAUGUGGAUGGAUGGAUGGAUAGAUAGACCGGCUCAGAUCUGAGCUCGAAAGGGAUCAGCCGUUGCGUUGCAAGGUUGAAUUAAGCCCCUGAAAUGGCUAAUGCGGCGCUGGCUUCUCUGUUCUUGGCGCUGAGGCCUGUGUCUGGGUCAGCCGUUGCUUCCGCUGAAGCUCUGCCACUGACCUAGGGCCGGCCCUUGUUGAGGUCUACAUCUCCGUCCUUCUCCUCGUCGUCGUCGCCGUCGCACUUUUGCCAUGGCCUUGCCUCGCCUCGCCACUUCUUUCGGUUCACCCAGACACACCCCAGUGCCGGCUUUGGAGCCCGCCGCAUUAGCCUACGACGAAACUGAAAUCUGAGGGCCAUGUUGUCAUACAGAAUUCUCGGUAUUUUCGUCUAAGUCGAACUCUUCUGCAUGGUCACACUGCAAAACACGCAGCUUUUGCACAUUGUAUUACAUUGUAGUGUAGUAUGCAAUACAAUGGUGGAAUGGGAUGCCAUCUUACAAUGUGUGGAGCACUCCUAGGCUAGUGAUUUGGUAGGAUAAUUAACUGAUUGCACUGAAUCACCUGCGCUAAUCUCCUAUGGCUAUUUUCCUGUCUGUUUCCUUCGGCUUUCUUGUGGUUUGAUGCUUUGUUCUGAUCGAUCUUGGCUUAGAUUUACUUUCGUGGUUUGUUUUGUGCGUUUGUAGUGUAUACUAUUCGCUUGUUGCAUGCAUUUUCCUUUCUCUUGGCCUGAUGAUGAUUAGGGUGAAAGGCCCAUGUUGGGAUGGAUGGAUAGAUUGAUUGAUCGCCUCAGGUUUGAUCUUGGAACGGGAUCAGCCGCUGCAUUCGCAAGGUUGAAGCCCCUGAAAUGGCUAAUACAGCGCCGGCCUUCUCUGUUCUAGGCGCUGAGGCAUGUGCUUGGGUUAGCCAUUGCUUUUGCUCAAGCUCCGCCACUGACUGAUGGGCUGGUUCCCUUCUUCCUUCUCUUCCUACCAGCUCACUGUCGGCGUCCUUGUCUUCACCACCACCACCAUUGCCUGGUCUUCUCUAUGGUCCACCCAGACACGUCACAGUGCCAGCUUUGAAGCCCUCUACAUUAGCCUUUGAACCUGAAAUCUGAGGGCCAUGUUGUAAUACGAAUUCUCGGGAUUUUCUUUCGAAUCGAACUGUUUUGUGUGGACUCACUGUAAAACAGCCAGCUUGCACAUGGUGUUAGACUGUUGUGAAGUGGGCAAUGGUGGAACGCGUACUCACAAUGUGUAAAGCAGUGCUUUUGGCCAUGCAUGUGCACCUGCCUGUCUUUGCCGAGAUCUAGGCUAGUAUUUUGGUAAGAUAAUUAACUGGUCGCACUGAAUCAGCCACACCCAUCCCUCGCGUGCUAGAUAUGAUGGCGUAGGAUCACACUGACAGAUGUUACCAGUCCAUCUGAGGUUCGUUUUUUAUACAUCUAUAUUCUUGUUUUCGUUUCUUUUACCUUAUUCCGUGUCACCUGUCAUUUCAAGAACUGUUCAUUUGCCAUUCUUGAAUGCAGGUUGGCUGUUUUGUAGGAAAUAUAACAUGCUUUUGCUACAGAAAUAGUGAUUAAAACACUUUUGAUUUGUUUUCUGUUUUUCUUUUAGUUACUUUUCUUACCAGUUUAACCUCAUAUUACAUCUUCCAUUUAAUAAGAUCCCAACUCUGAACUUUUGGCUUUGCACCAAAAUUUCUGUUUUGAGUUUUUGACUAUAUCAUGAUGGCGUUUUUUUUGGGAUGGUGUUUAGAAGCAUGUAUUGCGUAAUGAUGAAAACUAAUGUCAAGAGAUGGGACAUGCCAUGAUCCCUCCUCGCUUCUCUCUCUCAUGUGUGCGUGUGGGCGCACACACACACACACACACACACACACACACACACAUUGACAGCGGAUAUACCUUUCUUCAUGCGCUUACGGGUGAAUUGAAGAUCAUCUCUUGUGCCAUCAAUGAAUGCUACAUAUUUGAACAUGUGAAGGCACGGGCUUCAUUUUUCAUACCACAAAUAAUUGGCGAAGUUUUGUUUGACAUAUUUAGCUGGUUUCAUCUUCCAGAUCUGUAUAUAUUUGUUUGAUGCGAACCCUUCAUUUGCACUGCUGUUUCUUAUGCUUAGAUUAUGUUAAUUUCUAUUGUGACAGAAUGUGAUGUUUCAUUUUGUUCUUGAUGGUGGAUAGAAUCAUAUAAGUGUUCUCUUCUAUACAUCGCCCGAUGAUGAAAAUUGAAAAUGUAGAGAUUUCGACAUGAUUCUCUCCUCCCUGUCCUUCCUCCUCCUCCUCCCCCCCCCUCUCUCUCUCUCUCUCUCUCUCUCUCUGCGUGAUGCGUAAUGGCACAUGCAGCAGCAGCAGCAGCAGUUCACACCAGAUCAAUCUUUCACAUGCCUUAUGGACAAAAGGGAGAUCAUUUCUUGUGCCAUCAAUGAAUGGUACAUCUAUGGCACCUGAGGGCAUGACAUUUCUUUACCUUACACUAAUAACCGGCAAAUUUUGCAUGGAUAUAUUUAUUUUCAAUUUCAUCUUCCUUCAAUAGCAUUGCUGUCUCUUACGUUCAGAUUUGCAUCAUUUUCGCUUUGCUUCAUCAUUUUUGUGCAUUUGUUGUGGUUCCAUCUGAUUAUGAUCAAGUUUGCUCUGUGAUUUCUUCAUUACUUUUCUAGUACCUUCUUAGCUUGUUGUUUUGCUUUUCACCUCAGUGGAGGAAAAUCUUUGGUGUUUCAUGAUUUAUCACGACUGAUCACUGUUGUAAAUCAGCUUGCAUUUGAGUUCCGAUCUCGAAGUGGUAGCCCUUUACCAGGGUUAAGGUUUUGAAAUGGCCAAAUCAUUUGGUGGUUUCUGUCUGUAAUGUUUAUUAGUGGUUUUAAGUUAGUGUUUUGGUUAUGAUUUGUGCUUCAAAAUUGCCCCGUCUCCUACGUCUAUUUCCCCCUUCGAUUCCUUCGGCUCUCCAGCGGUUUGAUGCUUUGUUCUGGUCGAUCUCGGUGUAGAUGUACUUUGGUCGUAGUCUGUUUGGUGAUUUGUAGUCUACUAGUAGUACUAUAUUUUCUGCAUGCUGCAUGGAUUUUCCCUUGGAUUGGCCCGAUGAUGAUUAGGCUGAAACCCCCAAUGUGGGGAUGUGGAUGGAUGGAUAGAUAGAUUUAUCGGCUCAGAUCUGAGCUCGAAAAGCGAUCAGCCGUUGCGUUGCAAGGUUGAAUGAAGCCCCCUGAAAUGGCUAAUGCGGCGCUGGCUUCUCUGUUCUGGGUGCUAAGGCCCGUGUCUGGGUCAGCCGUUGCUUCCGCUGAAGCUCUGCCACUGACCUAGGGCUGGGCCUUGUUGAUGUCUGCCUCUCCGUCCUUGUCCUACUCCUCGCCGUCGCGCCGCACUUUUGCCAUGGCCACGCCACGCCUCGCCACUUCUUUCGGUCACCCAGACACGCCCCAGUGCCGGCUUUGGAGCCCGCGGCAUUAGCCUGCGAUGAAACUGAAAUCUGAGGGACAUGUUGUGAUGCAGAAUUCUUGGUAUUUUUGUCCGAAUCGAACUCUCUUGCAAUGUCACACACACUGUAAAACAGACAGCUUCUGCACAUUGUGUUAUAUUGUCGUAUGCAAUGCAAUGGUGGAAUGGAAUGCCAUCUUACAGUGUGUGGAGCACUCCUUGGCUAGUGAUUUGGUAGGAUAAUUGAUCGAUUGCACUGAAUCACCCGCGGUAAUCUCCUGUGGCUAUUUCCCUCUUUGUUUCCUUCGGCUUUCUGGUGGUUUGAUGCUUUGUUCUGAUCGGUCUCGGCUUAGACUUACUUUCAUGGUUUGCUUUGUGCAUUUGUAGUGUAUACUAUGUUUUCGCUUGCUACAUGGAUUUUUCCUUUCUCUUGGCCUGGUGAUGAUUAGGGUGAAAGGCCCAUGUGGGGAUGGAUAGAUAGAUCGAUUGAUCGGCUCAGGUUUGAGCUUGAAAUGGGAUCGGCCGCUGCAUUCGCAAGGUUGAAGCCCCUGAAAUGGCUAACACAGCACUGGCCUUCUCUGUUCUAGGCGCUGAGGCAUGUGUGCUUGGGUUAGCCGUUGCUUUUGCUCAAGCUCCGCCACUGACUGAUGGGAUGGUUCCCUUCCUUCUCUUUCUACCAGCUCAUGUGUCACCACAUGGUGACACAGCUGUCGCUGCCGUCUCGUCGUUGUCACCACCACCACCACCAGCACCAUUGCCUGGUCUUCUCCAUCGGUCCACCCAGAUACAUCACAGUGCCAGCUUUGAAGCCCGCUGCAUUAGCCUUUGAUGAACCUGAAAUCUGAGGGCCAUGUUGUCAUACGAAUUUUCGGGAUUUUCAUUUGAAUCGAACUCUUUUGUGUGGACUCACUGUAAAACAGCUUGCACAUGGUGUUAUACUGUUGUGUAGUGCGCAAUGGUGGAAUGCGAACUCACAGUGUGUGAAGCACUGCUUUGGGCCAUGCAUGUGCGCCUGCCUGUCUUUGCUGAGAUCUAGGCUAGUGUUUUGGAUAAUUAACUGGUCGCACUGAAUCAGCCACAUUCAUCCCUUGUGUGUUAGAUAUGAUGGCGUAGAAUCACACUGACAGAUCUUACCAGUCCAUCUGAGAUUCAUUUUUUGUACAUCUAUAUUCUUGUUUUCGUUUCUUUUACCUUAUUCUGUGUCAUGUGUCAUUUCAAGAACUGUUCAUUUGCCAUUCUUGAAUCCAGUUGGCUCUUUUGUAGGAAAUAUGACAUGCUUUUGCUACAGAAAUAGUGAUUAAAACACUUCUGAUUUGUUUUCUGUUUUUCUUUCAGUUACUUUUCUUACCAGUUUAUCUUCGUAUUACAUCUUCCAUUUAAUAAGAUCCUAAUUGUGAACUUUGGGCUUUGCACCAAAAUUUCUGUUUUGAGUUUUUGACUAUAUCAUGAUGGUAUUUUUUGGGGAUGGUGGUUAGAAGCAUGUGUCUCGGCGUAGAUGUACUUUGGUAGUCUGUCUCAUGAUUUGUAGUAUAUUUUCGCAUGCUGCAUGGAUUUUCCCUUGUAUUGGCCCGAUGACGAUUAGGCUGAAUUGAAACCCCCAAUGAGGGGAUGUGGAUGGAUGGAUGGAUCGAUAGAUCGGCUCAGAUCUGAACUCGAAAAGCGAUCAGAAAUGGCUAAUGCGGCACUGGCUUCUCUCUUCUGGGCGCUGAGGCCUGUGUCUGGGUCAGCCGUUGCUUCCGCUGAAGCUCUGCCACUGACCUAGGGCCGGCCCUUGUUGAGGUCUACCUCUCCGUCCUUCUCUUCAUCGUCGUUGCCGUCGCCGCACUUUUGCCAUGGCCUUGCCUCGCCUCUUCUUUUGGUUCACCCAGACACACCCCGGUGCCAGCUUUGGAGCCAGCCGCAUUAGCCUACGAUGAAACUGCAAUCUGAGGGCCAUGUUGUGAUGCCGAUUUCUCGGUAUUUUCGUCUGAAUCGAACUCUUUUGCAAGGUCACACACUGUAAAACAGACAGCCUCUGCACAUUGUGUUAUAUUGUAGUGUGGUAUGCAAUGCAGUGGUGGAAUGGAAUGCCACCUUACAAUGUGUGGAGCACUCCUAGGCUAGUGAUUUGGUAGGAUAAUUAAUCGAUUGCACUGAAUCACCCGCGGCAUAGCCGGUCCCAAGCCCGGGUAAAGGAGGAGGGUUGUGAUAGGCUUGGCGAGCCAACGUAAAAACUAGCCAGUCCCAUAGGUAUGAAACCCAUUUGAGCGAGAAUAGUACUAGGAUGGGUGACCUCCUAGGAAGUCCUCGUGAAAGGGUUUCAUAUCUAAGGGUUGUGAUAGGCUUGGCGAGCCAACGUAAAAACUAGCCAGUCUUUUGGGUAUGAAACCCAUUUGGGCGAGAGUAGUACUAGGAUGGGUGACCUCCUGGGAAGUCCUCGUGAAAGGGUUUCAUAUCUAGCCUACCCCAACUUGUUUGGGAUAAAAGGCUUCGUAAGUAAGUAAGUAAGUACUGAAUCACCCGCGCUAAUCUCCUAUGGCUAUUUUCCUCUUUGUUUCCUCCGGCUUUCUGGUGGUUUGAUGCUUUGUUCUAAUUGAUCUCGGCUUAGAUUUACUUUCGUGGUUUGUUUUGUGCAUUCGUAGUGUAUCCUAUGUUUUGCUUGUUGCAUGGAUUUUUCCUUUCUCUUGGCCUGAUGAUGAUUAGGGUGAAAGGCCCAUGUGGGGAUGGAUAGAUAGAUCGAUUGAUCGGCUCAGGUUUGAGCUUGAAAUGGGAUCAGCCGUUGCAUUCGCAAGGUUGAAGCCCCUGAAAUGGCUAAUACAGUGCUGGCCUUCUCUGUUCUAGGCGUUGACUGAUGAUGGGUUAGCCGUUGCUUUUGCUCAAGCUCCGCCACUGACUGAUGGGAUGGUUCCCUUCUUUCUCUUUAUACCAGCUCACGUCACAGUGCCAGCUUUGAAGCCCGCCACUGUCGCGGUGCCAGCUUUGAAGCCUUUGAAGCCCGUUGCAUUAGCCUUUAUGAACGUGAAAUCUGAGGGCCAUGUUGUAAUACGAAUUCUAGGGAUUUUUAUUUGAAUCAAACUCUUUUGUGUGGACUCACUGUAAAACAGUCAGCUUGCACAUGGUGUUAUACUGUUGUGCAGUGUGCAAUGGUGGAACGCGAACUCACAGUGUGUGAAGCACUGCUUUGGGCCAUGCAUGUGCGCCUGCCUGUCUUUGCUGAUAUCUAGGCUGGUGUUUUGGUAAGAUAAUUAACUGGUCGCACUGAAUCAGCCACACCCAUCCCUUGUGUGUUACUCCCUCCAUUCCUAAAUAUAAGCCUUUCUAGAGAUUCCAAUGCGGACUACAUACGAAGCAAAAUGAGUGAAUCUACAGUCUAAAAUAUGUCUAUAUACAUCCGAAUGUAGUUCUUAUUGAAAUCUCUAAAAAGGCUUAUAUUUAGGAACGGAGGGAGUAGAUAUGAUGGUGUAGGAUCACACUGACAGAUGUUACCAGUCCAUCUGAGGUUCAUUUUUUGUACAUCUAUAUUCUUGCUUUAGUAUCUUUUACCUUAUUCUGUGUCAAGUGUCAUUUCAAGAACUGUUCAUUUGCCAUUCUUGAAUCCAGUUGGCUCUUUUGUAGGAAAUACGACAUGCUUUUGCUACCGAAACACUCCCUCCGUCCCAUAAUGUAAGAACAUUUUUCAAGCUAACAUAGCUUGAAAAACGUUCUUAUAGUAGUGAUUAAAACACUUAUGAUUUGUUUUCUGUUUUUCUUCCAGUUACUUUUGUUACCAGUUUAACUUAUUACAUCUUCCAUUUAAUAAGAUCCUAACUGUGAACUUUUGGCUUUGCACCAAAAUUUCUGUUUUGGUUUUUGACUAUAUCAUGAUGGUAUUUUUGGGGGAUGGUGGUUAGAAGCAUGUAUUGCCUAAUGAUGGAAACUAAUGUCAAGAGAUGGCACAUGACAUGAACUAACUCUCUCUCUCUCUCUCUCUCUCUCUCUCUCAUGAUCUCUGUUUGAUAUAUUUAUUUGGUUUCAUGUUCCAGAUCUGUAUACAUUUGCUUGAUGCGAACCCUUCAUUUGCACUGCUAUCUCGUAUGCUUAGAUUUUGCAUUAUUGCCAUUUGGCUUCCUGAACCUUUUGAAUUUGCGUCAGAUCAUGGACAGGUUUGUUCUGUUAAUUUGUUUAUUAUGUUUCUAGUAUCUUCUUGUUUCUUGCUUUGUUUUGCUUUGGCUAUUUGAUCUUAACCCUUCAUUUGCACUUAAUUUCUAUUGUGACAGAAUCAUGAUGUUCCAUUUUGAAAAUGUAGAGAUGGCACUUGGACAUGAUCUCUCUCUCCCUCUCUCUCUCUCUCUCUCUCUCUCUCUCUCUGCGUGAUGCGUGAUGGCACAUGCAACAGCAACAGCAGCAGCAGUUCACACCAGAUCAAUCUUUCACAUGCCUUAUGGACAAAAGGGAGAUCAUUUCUUGUGCCAUCAAUGGAUGCUACAUCUAGGCACCUGAGGGCAUGACAUUUCUUUACCUUACACUAAUAACCGGCAAAAUUUGCAUGGAUAUAUUUAUUUUCAAUUUCAUCUUCCUUCAAUAACAUUUCUGUCUCUUACGUUCAGAUUUUGCAUCAUUUUCGCUUUGCUUCAUCAUUUUUGUGCAUUUGUUGUGGUUCCAUCUGAUUAUGAUUAAGUUUGCUCUGUGAUUUCUUCAUUACUUUUGCAGUACCUUCUUAGCUUGUUGUUUUGCUCUUCACCUCAGCGGAGGAAAAUCUUUGGUGUUUCAUGAUUUAUCACGACUGAUCACCGUUGUAAAUCAGCUUGCAUUUGAGUUCCGAUCUUGAAGUGGUAGCCCUUUACCAGGGUGAAGGUUUUGAAAUGGCCAAAGCAUUGUUUGUAAUGUUCAUUGUCCUUUAUCACGACUGAUCACUGUCUGUAAUGUUCAUUAGUGGUUUUAAGUUAGUAUUUUGUUUAUGAUUUGUGCUUCAAAAUUGUCCAUGAAGUUCUGAUACUGGUUCUAUACACCAAUUAGUAAUGCCUUCUACAAUGUAUUGCCCAAUGAUGAAAACUACUCCCUCCGUCCCAUAAUGCAAGACGUUUUGUGACACUACACUAGUGUGAAAAAACGUCUUACAUUACGGGACGGAGGGAGUAAUAUGUAGAGAUGGCACAUUACAUGGGCACGCGCGUGCAUGUGUCUGUGUGUGCUGACAGCAGAUAUAACUUGAACAACUGAAGGCACAGGCUUCAUUUUUGUCAUCUUACACAAAUUACCGGUAAACCUUUGUUUGAUAUAUUUAUUUUCAGUUUCAUCUUCCAGAUCUGUAUAUAUUGGCUUGAUAAAAAUCCUUAAUUUGCAUUCCUUUCUCUUAUGUUUAGAAGAUUUUACAUUAUUGCCAUUUGGCUUCAGUUUCGUGAAUUUGCUUGUUUCAUCUGGUCAUGGUCAGGCUUGUUCUGUUAAUUUGUUUGUUAUGUUUCUAGUAUCUAUUUUGUUGUUGUUUGCCUUCGCUUUGGCUAUUUGAUCUGAUCGAUCUUAGUAUAGUUUUGUUUUCUUGGUUUAUUUUGUAGUGCAGUUCUACUGCUAUAUAUUUUGCUUGCUACUUAGAUUUGCCCUUGGCCCAAUGAUGAUUACAAUGGAGCCCUCAUGCAUGCAUGGAUGGAUCGGCUUAGAUUUGAGCUCCAAACAGGGCCAGCUGUUGCCUUCGCAAAGUUGAAGCCCCUGAAAAUGGCUAAUGCAGCACCGUCUUCUCUGUUCUGGGCGCUGAGGCAUGUGUCUUGGAUCAACCGUUGCUUCUGCCGAAGCUUUGGCACUGACGCCUGGCAAAAGGUGUUCUUCUUCUGCUUCUGCUGCUUCUUCUUCUUCUUCACUCGAUUGUUGUUGUCUCUGGCAACUCAUGUGCUAUACCGGUGAACCAAGGCACGCCCAAGUGCCAGCUUUGAAGCCUGCUGCAUUAGCCUGUGAUGAAACUGAAAUCUGAGGGCCAUAUUGUAAUACAACCUUGUUGGUAUUUUCAAUGGAAUCGAACUCUUUUGCAUGUGCUCACUGCCUAACAGCCAGUGUGCACGCUUUGCUUCUCUUAUUUCAUUAUCUUGGUAUAUACUCCCUCCGUUCCUAAAUAUAAGUCUUUCUAGAGAUUAUACUAUGGACUACAUACAAAUCAAAAUGAGUGAAUCUACACUCUUAAAUGUGUCUAUAUACGUCCGUAUGUAGUUUGUAGUGAAAUCUCUAAAAAGACUUAUAUUUAGGAACGGAGGGAGUAUUAGCUAAGGUUUAGGCUAGUGUUUUGAAUAAAGUUAUGUGCUUCAUGGUGCUGAAGUGUGUAUGUGGAUUGCUAGCUCUUUCCAUCAGUUCGGACUUUUCGUUGCAUUAGCUAGUGCUGAAUCAUUGUUCCACAAUCAAUGGAACAAAAUCACUCACAUCCCCCUGCCAUGUCGUCAGAUAUGAUGGCAGAGGAUCACAGUCUGACAGAUGAUACUAUUUCAUCUGAGGAUAAUUUUUCAUACAUUCAUAUUAUUUAUUUCUUUGUGCGAUCAGUAUUGUUGUGUCACGUGUCAUAUGUAUCAUAAACAUUCCAUUUGCCAUUCUCAGAUGCAGGUUGGUUCUUCUAUAGUAAAGCAACAUACGCAACAUCCGCAUUUAGUCAUCAAAUGUCUUGUCUAUGUUUGUUGAUUUUCUUUCUGCUUUGUUACCACUUUGUGUUUUUUUCGUAUGUCUCUUUGCGAAACCUCAUAUUACACCUUGACCCAAUUAAUAUCCCAAUUGUGGGCAUGUGGCUUGCACUUAAUUUCUAUUGUGACAGAAUCGUGAUGUUUCAUUUUGUUCUUGAUGGUGGAUAGUAUCAUGCAACUGUUGGCUUCUAUAAUGCAUCGCCCAAUGAUGAAAAAUGAAAAUGUAGAGAAUGGCACUUGGACUUGAUCCUGUCCCCCCCCCCCCCCCCCCGAUGCAGCAGGAGCAGCAGCUCACACCAGAUCAAUGUUCACAUGCCUUAUGAACAAAAGGGAGAUCAUAUCUUGUGCCAUCAAUGAAUUGCUACAUCCAUGGCACCUGAGGGCAUGAUGUUUCUUUUUCAUAUGUUACACUAAUUACUGGCCAAAUUUGCAUGCAUAUAUUUAUUUUCAGUUGCAUCUUCCAGAUCCGUCUCUGUUGGCUUGAUGGGGACCCUUCAGUAGCAUUGCUGUCUCUUAUGUUCAGAUUUUGCAUCAUUUUUUGGUUUGAUUAACCAAUUUUGCGCAUUUGCUGUGGUUUCAUCUGAUUAUGAUUAAGUUUGCUCUGUUGAUUUUUCAUUACUUUUGUAGUAUGUUCUUAGCUUGUUGCUUUGCUUUUCACCUCAGCAGGGGAAAUUCUUUGGUGUUUCAUGAUUUAUCACAAGCGAUCACUGUUGUAAAUCAGCUUGCAUUUGAGUUCCAAUCUCAAAGUGGUAGCCCUUUACCAGGGUGAAGGUUUUGAAGUGGCCAAAGCAUUGUUGGUUUCUUUCUGUAUUGCUUGUUAGUGGUUUUAAAUUAGUAUAUUGGUUAUGAUUUGUGCUUCAGAACUCUCCAUGAAGUCCUGAUACUGGUUCUAUACACCAAGAUUGGUCUUUUGGAUGGUGGUUCGAAGUAUAGAAAUGCCUUCUAUAGUGUAUUGCCCCAUGAUUGAAAACUAAUAUGUAGAGAUGGUGCAUGACAUGGUUUCUCCCUCUCUCUUGCUGUAAUAAAUUGGAUAAAAUUUAUUUUAAGGUGGCUAAUCUAAAUAUAGGAGGAUAUGGUUGCAAACCUUGGGAUGUUUUCCAGUUUUUUGUUUGGAAAUAAUUGAUCUGCUGUUAAUUUGAAGAUGACAAGGAGAUAAGGAGGAAAAUUAAAAGGCUUCUUUGGUGGAUGGGUAGGAGAACUCCGGAUCUGCCAAGGAAGCAGGUGAGGGAGGAGACGUCUUGUGCUGUAAGGGUGUCUCGCAGACUGAUUUUCUUGAUUUGAUGUAUUGUCAUUGCAUAUAUCAUUAUCUCAAAGUCUGGUUAGUGUUUGAUUUUGCACAGAUUUGUUUGGGAUCUGCUUUGAAGCAAGCAUCGUUCCUUGCGCUCACAGAAUGGGAAGUUGCAGAAAGAGAGAAAAGGUGGGCCACUCAGAUGUGGCUCAUUGACGAUGUAGGAUUGAAUAUGGAUAAGGGCAGGAUGCCGCUUUCAUCAACAUGAAACAUGACCACACCACUUGGAGUUGGAGAUGACAUACUCACAUGAGCCUUGGGAAGCUUUUGUAGUGGUGCUUGUUUGCUUUGGAUAGUAUAUGCUUGAUAAUUUCCCCGUGUUGUUCGCAUGUGUAAGCGGGUGAAUGGAUUAUCUUGUAAUGAACUUCUAGUUUCUUGAAGCAGCAACAACCAUGUCCUCCUUUGUUGAAUUUGCUUGAGAAUGCAUAGUUUGGUCAGUUCGCUA